UACGAAGGGUGCUAGCGUUGUUCGGAAUUACUGGGCGUAAAGCGCGCGUAGGCGGCUUUAUAAGUCAGGGGUGAAAUCCCACAGCUUAACUGUGGAACUGCCUUUGAAACUGUAAAGCUUGAGUGUCGGAGGGGAUAGCGGAAUUGCUAAUGUAGAGGUGAAAUUCGUAGAUAUUAGCAGGAACACCGGUGGCGAAGGCGGCUAUCUGGACGACAACUGACGCUGAGGCGCGAAAGCGUGGGGAUCAAACAGG
Molecule: ribosomal RNA, 253 nt
Filed under: uncultured bacterium
Lineage: Bacteria
Description: partial 16S ribosomal RNA
Rfam family: Bacterial small subunit ribosomal RNA
Source: RNAcentral